This 253-nucleotide ribosomal RNA is filed under the name uncultured bacterium. Its description in RNAcentral is "partial 16S ribosomal RNA". It matches the Rfam family "Bacterial small subunit ribosomal RNA", at positions 524 to 776 of the family's 1533-position model. The record is from RNAcentral.
UACGUAGGGUGCGAGCGUUAAUCGGAAUUACUGGGCGUAAAGCGUGCGCAGGCGGCGCGUUAAGACAGGUGUGAAAGCCCCGAGCUUAACUUGGGAAUUGCGCUUGUGACUGGCGUGCUGGAGUGUGGCAGAGGGAGGUGGAAUUCCACGUGUAGCAGUGAAAUGCGUAGAGAUGUGGAGGAACACCGAUGGCGAAGGCAGCCUCCCGGGCCAGCACUGACGCUCAUGCACGAAAGCGUGGGGAGCAAACAGG